RNAcentral lists this ribosomal RNA (253 nucleotides) under uncultured bacterium. RNAcentral's name for it is "partial 16S ribosomal RNA". It matches the Rfam family "Bacterial small subunit ribosomal RNA", at positions 524 to 776 of the family's 1533-position model. The record is from RNAcentral.
UACAGAGGUGGCGAGCGUUGUUCGGAUUUACUGGGCGUAAAGGGUGCGUAGGUGGUUUCGUGUGUCGGAUGUGAAAGCCCGUCGCUCAACGACGGAAAUGCAUUCGAAACUGCGGAACUGGAGUGCAGGAGGGGAGAGCGGAAUACUCGGUGUAGCGGUGAAAUGCGUUGAUAUCGAGUAGAACACCGGCGGCGUAGGCGGCUCUCUGGAAUGCAACUGACACUGAGGCACGAAAGCCAGGGGAGCAAACAGG